Molecule: RNA transcript, 2688 nt
Organism: Pleuronectes platessa (European plaice)
Lineage: Eukaryota; Metazoa; Chordata; Actinopteri; Pleuronectiformes; Pleuronectidae
Gene name: zona pellucida sperm-binding protein 4
Exons: 9
Source: RefSeq, a predicted model, not a curated record
UAUAAAUGUGGCAGCACACAUAAGUAGUGCAUUUGGGGACUGUCCUUGAGCUGCAGUGAAACCAUGGCAAAGCGUUGGAGUGCCAACUCUUUGGUGGGACAAGUACUGCUAAUCUGCUUAGUUGGGACAAAUGUAGAGGUUUUGGGCCAGAUGGCAAAGAAUACACCACCAAUCAGACGUCCGAAUCAACCAGGUUUGCAACCGACCGUUACUCAACAGAAUCCCCAGAUCCAACCGGAUGUCAAGCCAAGCUAUCCUGGACAGAAUCCACAGACAAAUUUCCAACCAGGUGGCAAUCCAAGCUAUCCUGGACAGAAUCCACAGACAAAUUUCCAACCAGGUGGCAAUCCAAGCUAUCCUGGACUGAAUCCACAGACAAAUUUCCAACCAGGUGGCAGGCCAAGCUAUCCUGGACAGAAUCCACAGACAAAUGUCCAACCAGGUGGCAAUCCAAGCUAUCCUGGACAGAAUCCACAGACAAAUGUCCAACCGGGUGGCAAGCCAAGCUAUCCUGGACAGAAUCCACAGACAAAUUUCCAACCGGGUGGCAGGCCAAGCUAUCCUGGACAGAAUCCACAGACAAAUUUCCAACCAGGUGGCAGGCCAAGCUAUCCUGGACAGAAUCCACAGACAAAUUUCCAACCAGGUGGCAGGCCAAGCUAUCCUGGACAGAAUCCACAGACAAAUUUCCAACCAGGUGGCAACCCAAGCUAUCCUGGACAGAAUCCACAGACAAAUGUCCAACCAGGUUCACAGUCAAGCUAUACUCAGAAUCGUCGACCAACAACCUUCCAACCAACUCCAAUGCAAAAACUAUAUCAUGAUAGCAAUUCCCAGAUGUCAGGACCACGUAAACCUCAACAGCCUCAACAGGAACCAAAGUAUCCAAUGUAUCCACAGCCUCCACAGGUACCAAAGUAUCCAACGCAUCCACAAACUCCACAGGAACCAAAGAAUCCAAUGCUUCCACAAAUUCCACAGGAACCAAAGAAUCCACAGCCUCCACAGGUACCAAAGCAUCCAAUGCUUCCACAAAUUCCACAGGAACCAAAGAAUCCACAGCCUCCACAGGUACCAAAGUAUCCAAUGUUUCCACAAAUUCCACAGGAACCAACGCAUCCACAAACUCAACAGAAUCCAAAGAAUCCACAGCUUCCAAAGCGUCGACUGCCUUCACAACAAGUUAAGGUGCCAGAGACACCUGUGGUGCAGUUUUGUGGAGUGGAACACAAUGUGAGAAUCCAAUGUGGCGGUCAUGAUAUCUCUGCUGCUGGAUGUGAAGCAAUAGACUGUUGCUUUGCUGACCACCAGUGCUUCUACGGAAAAGCAGUGACUGUCCAGGCUACAAAGGAUGCCCAGUUCAUUGUUGUAGUGGCCAAAGAUGCAACUCUGCCCAACUUGGACAUCGACACAAUUUCACUGAUUGGGGAGGGUCGAUCAUGUACAGCUGUUGACUCUAAUUCAGAAUUUGUUAUCUUCCAAUUCGCUGUCACUGAUUGUGGCUCUGUUGUUAGGGAGGAGCCUGGUGUUAUAACCUAUACGAACUGGAUGACAUCCUCAUAUGAAGUAGGAUUUGGGCCUAGUGGAAGCAUUACCAGGGACAGCAUCUUUGAAUUGCUCUUCCAGGCUAGGUACACGGGCACCUCCAUUGAAACUGUGAUUAUAGAAGUAUUUCCAUUACAAGAUCCUCCUCUACCAGUUGCUGCUCUGGGACCCAUUAGAGUACAACUGAGGUUGGCUAAUGGAGAAUGCUCAUCUAAGGGCUGUAAUGAAGUUGAAGCAGCCUAUAACUCUUUCUAUACGGAGGCCGACUACCCUGUGACCAAAGUACUGCGGGAUCCAGUGUACGUGGAGGUUCAGCUCAUUGAAAAGACGGAUCCAAACCUUGUCCUGACUCUUGGUCGCUGUUGGGUAACUAAUUCCCCCAAUAGUCACCAUCUGCCUCAGUGGGACCUUCUGAUAGAUGGGUGUCCCUACAGCGAUGAUCGCUACUUGUCCUCACUGGUUCCAGUCGGUCCCUCCUCUGGUCUGCCCUUCCCAACUCACUACAGGCGUUUCAUUUUCAAAAUGUUUACCUUUGUGGACAGCCACUCACUAGAGCCCCUGAAGGAGGAGGUGUACAUUCACUGUAGUACAACUGUGUGCACUCCUGGAGAAGGCCGCGUCUGUGAGCCCUCAUGCCACAGGACAAAGAGAGAGGCCGAAGCAUCCCACCAGACAAGGAGUGAGCAAAAAUUGGUGGUUACGGUUGGACCUGUGACCAUGGUUGACCACUCACGUUCGGACACCAGUUAAUGUUUCAUCUGGAGCAUUAAGAUGGUUCAGUUAUGCUAAAAACUAAAAAACAAAGUCUGCAACAGGAAGAAUGAAAUGAAUCACCAAAGUCUUGUAACCAAAUAUGUAUCAGGCCCAGGGACCAUGUGUUGUGUCUAAAACUGCAUAAUAGUCUAGCUUGCAGUACUUAGGUUGUCCAUUAGAUAUCCCUACCAGCAUAAGUCUUUAGCAGGGGUCGGCAACCUUUACUUACUUAUUUUGCCCCCUCUUCCCCCAAAUAAAAUGUGUCUGGAGCCGUAAAACAUAUUUGAUAACAAAGCUAAUAAAGUUUAAUAUAAAGUUAUACUAUACUAAACUAUAGUUUGUUGCAUUUACGAAAUUAUAGAACGACAAUAAAGAAAACUCUUGACAUUU